GAGAGAGUAAUUCAAAGGUAGAAUAUUAGUCUGUCACGCUAAAAGGUGCGGGUUCAACUCCCGUCUCUCUCG
RNAcentral lists this transfer RNA (72 nucleotides) under Cyanidiococcus yangmingshanensis. RNAcentral's name for it is "tRNA-Asp". It matches the Rfam family "tRNA". Rfam says of the family: Transfer RNA (tRNA) molecules are approximately 80 nucleotides in length. Their secondary structure includes four short double-helical elements and three loops (D, anti-codon, and T loops). The record is from RNAcentral. Lineage: Eukaryota; Rhodophyta; Bangiophyceae; Cyanidiales; Cyanidiaceae.